UACGGAGGGUGCAAACGUUGCUCGGAAUUAUUGGGCGUAAAGCGCACGUAGGCGGCCGAUUAAGUCGGGUGUGAAAGCCCAGGGCUCAACCCUGGAAGUGCACUCGAAACUGGACGGCUUGAAUAUGGAAGAGGGUUGCGGAAUUCCCGGUGUAGAGGUGAAAUUCGUAGAUAUCGGGAGGAACACCAGUGGCGAAGGCGGCUCACUGGUCCAUUACUGACGCUGAGGUGCGAAAGCGUGGGGAGCAAACAGG
Molecule: ribosomal RNA, 253 nt
Filed under: uncultured bacterium
Lineage: Bacteria
Description: partial 16S ribosomal RNA
Rfam family: Bacterial small subunit ribosomal RNA
Source: RNAcentral